Molecule: ribosomal RNA, 244 nt
Filed under: uncultured bacterium
Lineage: Bacteria
Description: partial 16S ribosomal RNA
Rfam family: Bacterial small subunit ribosomal RNA
Source: RNAcentral
AAAGAGAAGCGAAGGAGCGAUCUGAAGCGAAGCUCAAAAAACCAGUCCCAGUUCGGAUUGUAGUCUGCAACUCGACUACAUGAAGCUGGAAUCGCUAGUAAUCGCGAAUCAGAAUGUCGCGGUGAAUACGUUCCCGGGUCUUGUACACACCGCCCGUCAAACCAUGAGAGUCACCAACACCCGAAGUCCGCUUUGGCGGCCUAAGGUGGGGGAGAUGAUUGGGGUUAAGUCGUAACAAGGUAUC